UACGAAGGGGGCUAGCGUUGCUCGGAAUCAUUGGGCGUAAAGCGCACGUAGGCGGUCCAGCAAGUCGGGUGUGAAAGCCCUCGGCUUAACCGAGGAAGUGCAUUCGAAACUACUGGACUUGAAUACUGAAGAGGAUCGCGGAAUUCCCGGUGUAGAGGUGAAAUUCGUAGAUAUCGGGAGGAACACCAGUGGCGAAGGCGGCGAUCUGGGCAGAUAUUGACGCUGAGGUGCGAAAGCGUGGGGAGCAAACAGG
Molecule: ribosomal RNA, 253 nt
Filed under: uncultured bacterium
Lineage: Bacteria
Description: partial 16S ribosomal RNA
Rfam family: Bacterial small subunit ribosomal RNA
Source: RNAcentral